GACGAACGCUGGCGGCGUGCUUAACACAUGCAAGUCGAACGGAAAGGCCCUGCUUUUGUGGGGUGCUCGAGUGGCGAACGGGUGAGUAACACGUGAGUAACCUGCCCUUGACUUUGGGAUAACUUCAGGAAACUGGGGCUAAUACCGGAUAGGAGCUCCUGCUGCAUGGUGGGGGUUGGAAAGUUUCGGCGGUUGGGGAUGGACUCGCGGCUUAUCAGCUUGUUGGUGGGGUAGUGGCUUACCAAGGCUUUGACGGGUAGCCGGCCUGAGAGGGUGACCGGCCACAUUGGUACUGAGAUACGGCCCAGACUCCUACGGGAGGCAGCAGUGGGGAAUAUUGCACAAUGGGCGGAAGCCUGAUGCAGCAACGCCGCGUGCGGGAUGACGGCCUUCGGGUUGUAAACCGCUUUCGCCUGUGACGAAGCGUGAGUGACGGUAAUGUGUAAAGAAGCACCGGCUAACUACGUG
This 468-nucleotide ribosomal RNA is filed under the name uncultured bacterium. Its description in RNAcentral is "partial 16S ribosomal RNA". It matches the Rfam family "Bacterial small subunit ribosomal RNA", at positions 28 to 507 of the family's 1533-position model. The record is from RNAcentral.